GAGUAAUGCAUAGGAAUCUACCUAGUAGUAUGGGAUAGCCACUAGAAAUGGUGGGUAAUACUGUAUAAUCCCUGCGGGGGAAAGAUUUAUCGCUAUUAGAUGAGCCUAUGUUAGAUUAGCUAGUUGGUAGGGUAAAGGCCUACCAAGGCAGUGAUCUAUAGCUGGUCUGAGAGGAUGAUCAGCCACACUGGAACUGAGAUACGGUCCAGACUCCUACGGGAGGCAGCAGUGGGGAAUAUUGGACAAUGGGCGCAAGCCUGAUCCAGCUA
RNAcentral lists this ribosomal RNA (269 nucleotides) under Anaplasma platys. RNAcentral's name for it is "partial 16S ribosomal RNA". It matches the Rfam family "Bacterial small subunit ribosomal RNA", at positions 108 to 394 of the family's 1533-position model. Lineage: Bacteria; Pseudomonadati; Pseudomonadota; Alphaproteobacteria; Rickettsiales; Anaplasmataceae. The record is from RNAcentral.